This 109-nucleotide transfer RNA is filed under the name bacterium. Its description in RNAcentral is "tRNA-Ile". The record is from RNAcentral.
GGCACUUAGCUCAGCCCCGACGUGCGGUCGGGGAGCCGACCGAAGCGUCGGCUUGGUAGAGCAACGCCCUUAUAAGACGUGGGUCGCAGGUUCGAUCCCUGCCAGGCCG